CCUACGGGAGGCUGCAGUGAGGAAUAUUGGUCAAUGGACGAGAGUCUGAACCAGCCAAGUAGCGUGAAGGAUGACUGCCCUAUGGGUUGUAAACUUCUUUUAUAUGGGAAUAAAACGUUCCACGUGUGGGAUUUUGUAUGUACCAUAUGAAUAAGGAUCGGCUAACUCCGUGCCAGCAGCCGCGGUAAUACGGAGGAUCCGAGCGUUAUCCGGAUUUAUUGGGUUUAAAGGGAGCGUGGGUGGAUUGUUAAGUCAGUUGUGAAAGUUUGCGGCUGAACCGUAAAAUUGCAGUUGAAACUGGCAGUCUUGAGUACAGUAGAGGUGGGCGGAAUUCGUGGUGUAGCGGUGAAAUGCUUAGAUAUCACGAAGAACUCCGAUUGCGAAGGCAGUUCACUGGACUGCAACUGACACUGAGGCUCGAAAGUGUGGGUAUCAAACAGGAUUAGAUACCCGGGUAGUC
RNAcentral lists this ribosomal RNA (460 nucleotides) under uncultured bacterium. RNAcentral describes it as "partial 16S ribosomal RNA". It matches the Rfam family "Bacterial small subunit ribosomal RNA", at positions 338 to 795 of the family's 1533-position model. The record is from RNAcentral.